This 189-nucleotide ribosomal RNA is filed under the name Nitrospirota bacterium. RNAcentral's name for it is "Nitrospirae bacterium (sediment metagenome) partial 23S ribosomal RNA". It matches the Rfam family "Bacterial large subunit ribosomal RNA", at positions 2740 to 2925 of the family's 2925-position model. The record is from RNAcentral. Lineage: Bacteria; Pseudomonadati; Nitrospirota.
GCCGGGUAGCUAUGUUCGGAUUGGAUAACCGCUGAAAGCAUCUAAGUGGGAAACCCACCUCAAGAUUAGGUCUCCCGGGGAGUAAUCCCCCUAAAGACCUGUGGUAGACCACCACGUUGAUAGGCUGGAGGUGUAAGUGUGGUGACGCAUUAAGCUGACCAGUACUAAUCGGUCGUGAGACUUGACCCU